RNAcentral lists this ribosomal RNA (16 nucleotides) under Cliffortia anthospermoides. RNAcentral also lists the same sequence under 1 other name. Lineage: Eukaryota; Viridiplantae; Streptophyta; Magnoliopsida; Rosales; Rosaceae. The record is from RNAcentral.
CCUCGUGUUGCAACCC